GGGGACGAAUUUGGUUUCGACUGUUGUAGUUGAAGUGUGGUGGCAUGUAGGGGUGAGGGGCCUCUUAAAAACCUUCAAAACAAUAAACGCUAACAACGAAUUAGCACUAGCAGCUUAAUCUCUGCUACGGACGAAAGGCUUACUCCCCCGGUGGUUUUUUGUCCGACUCAAACGGGGGACGUGAUUCAUCGGUGUUCGGUUCUCGAUGGAUGAUGUACUGGAAUCGAAUUGGAGGGGCACACCUGCCUGCGGGUUAAGGCUCUCCGAAACAACAAUCGUAGGACAAACAUGUAGAGGCCCCAUAGAGGCACAAUAGGACCCGGGUUCGAACCCCGGCGUCUCCAGUA
RNAcentral lists this transfer-messenger RNA (347 nucleotides) under Leptospiraceae. Its description in RNAcentral is "Leptospira_B fletcheri Standard tmRNA". It matches the Rfam family "transfer-messenger RNA". Rfam says of the family: Bacterial tmRNA, also known as 10Sa RNA or SsrA, is named for its dual tRNA and mRNA-like properties. Lineage: Bacteria; Pseudomonadati; Spirochaetota; Leptospiria; Leptospirales. The record is from RNAcentral. RNAcentral also lists the same sequence under 2 other names.